This is a non-coding RNA of Podarcis lilfordi (Lilford's wall lizard), 77 nucleotides long. The record is from the annotation of a GenBank genome assembly. NCBI's taxonomy places the organism in Eukaryota, Metazoa, Chordata, Lepidosauria, Squamata, Lacertidae.
GGAAAGACUGCGGCUCAGUGGAACAGCGUCUGCCUUGCAUGCAAAAGGUCCCAGAUUCAAUCCCUGGCAUCUCUUCA